ACUGGGUAAAGUUUGUCCUA
This 20-nucleotide microRNA is filed under the name Drosophila ananassae. RNAcentral's name for it is "miR-309-RA". Lineage: Eukaryota; Metazoa; Arthropoda; Insecta; Diptera; Drosophilidae. The record is from RNAcentral. RNAcentral also lists the same sequence under 1 other name.